AAAUCAAAACUGAAGUCUAAAAAUUGUUCAGGUAAUGCACAGGAAAGCAGGAGACAUAAACAAGGAAUAUUGGUCUGUAGUUUUCUUUUUGUGUUUUAUCUUUGUUUUUGGUAUCAGGGUAGCAAAACGGCUGGUUGAAAGUAACACAAGUUUCUUCAACUGAAAAAGUGAAGGAAUAACAGGACCUACUUCAGAGGGAUGACUGUGGGGCUUAAGCUGUGCCCUGCGACAUGUGGGAUCUUAGUUCUCUGACCAGGGAUCGAACCCGCACCCCCUGAGGUGGACAUGAGGAGUCUUAACCACUGGACCACCAGGGAAGUCCCACAACACAUGAAUUUUUUCAACCCACAACAGGAACCCAGCCUACACUGGAUCCCUGGCUGGCACAGCCUCACCUACACGGCCACCCUCCUGAGGAACACAUUCUUCCCUGAGAGGGGAUGAGUGUAAAAGGACCAUCUUGUCAGACUCGGAGAAAGAGAGGGGCUGGCAUCUUGAGGUCUUUUUAACCCAAACUCCUGCUGCGAACUCAUCCCAAUUCUCCCCACGUCUGCUCCAGGGCCUCAUUCCAUCCACCCUCUCCAUGUAAUUCCCACGUUCUCUCCGAUCCAGGUUUGAUCAACAGAAUGUUAUAAACAAGUCCCAGAAAAAAGGAAAAUCAGCAUCUCCUCAGGGCAGCCACUGUCUAAUUGGCAAGUUGUUCUCUAGUCAAUAUUUUUGUUUUCUUGAUUUUUAUAUAGAUAAAGAAUUAAGCUAA
Lagenorhynchus albirostris (white-beaked dolphin) is the source of this 757-nucleotide long non-coding RNA. RefSeq lists it as uncharacterized. The transcript has 3 exons. Lineage: Eukaryota; Metazoa; Chordata; Mammalia; Artiodactyla; Delphinidae. The record is from RefSeq and is a predicted model, not a curated record.